GGAAGGAUCAUUAACACGUCCCAACGUAUAAACCAAACCGCGAACCUGUAUUUCCCAUGCGAAGCUUAAAAUGUGAGCUUUGGAGCGGCAGCUUUGGUGACAUCUCGUAUUGAUCUCAAUAAUAUGAUGAUGGUCCUCCAGCUUUGUUUCGCAUGGCAUUUAACCUUUCCAGUACUGAGCUCGUGAUGUGAAUCGAGUCUUUUACGUUGAGCUCCUUGAUUGGAGUUCCGAAUCGAAAGCUCGUGAACGUUUGAGAUGCAGUAAUGGGAAGCUUUCCAUCACCCGGAAAUUCACCUUUAACCAAUGUAUUAAAUUUACUGAUAUAGGCCUAAGUGAAAGCUUGGCUUAAUAAAAAUAAUGUACAACUCUUAGCAAUGGAUAUCUCGGCUCUCGUAACGAUGAAGAACGCAGCAAACUGCGAUACGUAAUGUGAAUUGCAGAAUUCAGUGAAUCAUCAAAUCUUUGAACGCAAAUGGCGCUUUCGGGUUAGUCCUGGGAGCAUACCUCUCUGAGUAUCGGUUCCAUCUAUCUCAGUCAGCGUGCUGUGAAUAACAGUGCCGGACUGGACAAUGAGAAUCACAGCUGUGGUAUACCCGCGGUAUCUGUGUUUCUUGAAAUUCAUCUGGUUUAGGACUCCUAGUUUCUGGCUUCCGAUUGAUUAACCUGGAUCCCGUGCCACAUGAAGCCUAUUAUUAAUAGGUGGAAGUGUGUGCUGGUUGAGCCGGUUUCUAAAUCAGAGGUCAUAGCCUGUUUUACUGAAAUGGGAUUAACAUGUUUUGCCUGUUUGUUGACUUGGUGGUGACGUGGAUAAAACUAUCUCACGGUUAUCAUCAUUGGUAAAGUGAAGCGUUUAUCGUGGAUAAACUUUACCUGUGAUGUUCAUCUCGUAUGGAGAGUUGAAGCGUCGCCGCUAGUCAAGAACAGGUUUUAUUGGUGAUCUCAUGAGUUAACAGUUCCGCUAGUGACGUGGAUAAAAAUGCCCCUAAUAGGGUAUUUGAAACGUCUGCUGGUGUCGAACCGUUUAAAUCUCGCAAUGUGGACAGUGUGAAAGACUAGUGUAGUAUCCUUUGAACGUAUCGGGUUGAAGUUCAACUUAAUCUAUGAAUUAGAUCUCAGAUGAGGUAGGAAGACCCCCUGAAUUUAAGCAUAUUAAUAAGGGGAGGAAAAGAAACUAACAAGGAUUCCCCCAGUAACGGCGAGUGAAGCGGGAAUAGCUCAAGCUUAAAAUCGGGAUCCUAAGCGGGUUCUCGAGUUUGUGGCCUAGAGACGUGUUAUCAGGCGUGGCCCAGGUAUAAAUCUUUUGGAAAAAGGUAUCGUGGAGGGUGAGAAUCCCGUCUAUGACUUGGAGUUCGCGUCCGUACGAUGCAUGUUCUAAGAGUCGAGUUGUUUGGGAUUGCAGCUCUAAAUGGGUGGUAAAUUUCAUCUAAAGCUAAAUAUCGACGAGAGACCGAUAGCGCACAAGUACCGUGAGGGAAAGAUGAAAAGAACUUUGAAAAGAGAGUUAAAAAGUGCUUGAAAUUGUUAAGAGAGAAGCGCUGUAAGUCAGUCUUUACUCGUGAUCAUUUUUUCCAUCUGCUCUCUGGCGGUGCUGCGGACUGGAGCGAAAGCCUGGUCGGGUGCUGUAAGGCUGAGUGGGUGAGUCCUGUGGUUGCGAGUGUGUCAGAAUCGAUUCGGCUUGCGGGAGAAAACUAUGGGGAAGGUAGGGCGCUUCGGCGCCUGUUAUAGCCCUGUAGCCAUACCGUGGGCUGGAUCGAGGUCUAAAACGUGCGCCGCAAGGUUUUGGUACCCUGUGCUUGCUGGGUUAUUGCCGUGAAGAACAAUGUUCUUCUGGUUGAGAAGCUUGGUAGUGCGUGGGAUGUACCAUACGCAUGUUCGGGAUUCUGGCGAAAUGGCUUACAUCGACCCGUCUUGAAACACGGACCAAGGAGUCUAACAUAUAUGCGAGUCCUAGGGUGGUAAAACUCUUGGGCGCAAUGAAAUUGAAUGUAGCUUCGGCUACUGUGAUAGGAAUCUCGUAAGGGAGGCACUAUCGACCGAUCGUCACUUGUGAUAGAUUUGAGUUAGAGCAUAUCUGUUGGGACCCGAAAGAUGGUGAUCUAUGCCUGAAACAGGGCGAAGCCAGGGGAAACUCUGGUGGAGGCUCGUAGCGAUACUGACGUGCAAAUCGUUCGUCUGAUUUGGGUAUAGGGGCGAAAGACUAAUCGAACCAUUUAGUAGCUGGUUCCCUC
This 2228-nucleotide unclassified non-coding RNA is filed under the name uncultured fungus. RNAcentral describes it as "sequence contains 18S rRNA gene, ITS1, 5.8S rRNA gene, ITS2, 28S rRNA gene". The stretch from base 1108 to 2228 matches the Rfam family "Eukaryotic large subunit ribosomal RNA", at positions 1 to 961 of the family's 3401-position model. The record is from RNAcentral. Lineage: Eukaryota; Fungi.